RNAcentral lists this ribosomal RNA (277 nucleotides) under uncultured Pseudomonadaceae bacterium. RNAcentral describes it as "partial 16S ribosomal RNA". It matches the Rfam family "Bacterial small subunit ribosomal RNA", at positions 1107 to 1382 of the family's 1533-position model. Lineage: Bacteria; Pseudomonadati; Pseudomonadota; Gammaproteobacteria; Pseudomonadales; Pseudomonadaceae. The record is from RNAcentral.
GUCCUUAGUUACCAGCACGUUAUGGUGGGCACUCUAAGGAGACUGCCGGUGACAAACCGGAGGAAGGUGGGGAUGACGUCAAGUCAUCAUGGCCCUUACGGCCUGGGCUACACACGUGCUACAAUGGUCGGUACAAAGGGUUGCCAAGCCGCGAGGUGGAGCUAAUACCCAUAAAACCGAUCGUAGUCCGGAUCGCAGUCUGCAACUCGACUGCGUGAAGUCGGAAUCGCUAGUAAUCGUGAAUCAGAAUGUCACGGUGAAUACGUUCCCGGGCCUU